RNAcentral lists this ribosomal RNA (238 nucleotides) under uncultured bacterium. RNAcentral's name for it is "partial 16S ribosomal RNA". It matches the Rfam family "Bacterial small subunit ribosomal RNA", at positions 118 to 353 of the family's 1533-position model. The record is from RNAcentral.
UGGGUAACCUGCCUUAUAUGGGGGAUAGCCUUUCGAAAGGAAGAUUAAUACCGCAUAAGAUUGUAGUAUCGCAUGAUAUAGCAAUUAAAGGAGCAAUUCGCUAUAAGAUGGACCCGCGUCGCAUUAGCUAGUUGGUGAGGUAAUGGCUCACCAAGGCGACGAUGCGUAGCCGACCUGAGAGGGUGAUCGGCCACAUUGGGACUGAGGCACGGCCCAGACUCCUACGGGAGGCAGCAUG